This 465-nucleotide ribosomal RNA is filed under the name uncultured bacterium. RNAcentral's name for it is "bacterial SSU rRNA". It matches the Rfam family "Bacterial small subunit ribosomal RNA", at positions 8 to 507 of the family's 1533-position model. The record is from RNAcentral.
AGAGUUUGAUCAGUGGCUCAGGAUGAACCGCCGGCGGCAUGCCUAAAACAUGCAAGUCGAGCGGUAAGGCCCCUUCGGGGGUACACGAGCGGCGGACGGGUGAGUAACGCGUGGGAAUCUACCCCAAACUGAGGGAUAAGCAUUGGAAACGAUGUCUAAUACCGCAUAUGGUCUUCGGAUUAAAGCUUCGGCGGUUUGGGAAGAGCCCGCGUAAGAUUAGCUAGUUGGUGAGGUAAAGGCUCACCAAGGCGACGAUCUUUAACUGGUUUGAGAGGAUGAUCAGUCACACUGGAACUGAGACACGGUCCAGACUCUUACGGGAGGCAGCAGUUAGGAAUUUUCCACAAUGGGCGAAAGCCUGAUGGAGCAAUGCCGCGUGCAGGAUGAAGGCCCUAGGGUUGUAAACUGCUUUUAUACGUGAAGAAUAUGACGGUAACGUAUGAAUAAGGAUCGGCUAACUCCGUG